Molecule: transfer RNA, 69 nt
Filed under: Bos taurus (domestic cattle)
Lineage: Eukaryota; Metazoa; Chordata; Mammalia; Artiodactyla; Bovidae
Also listed under: 2 other names
Rfam family: tRNA
About the family: Transfer RNA (tRNA) molecules are approximately 80 nucleotides in length. Their secondary structure includes four short double-helical elements and three loops (D, anti-codon, and T loops).
Source: Rfam by way of RNAcentral
CCUGGUGACUCAGAGGUUAAAGCGUCUGCCUCCAAUGCAGGAGACCCAGGUUCGAUCCCUGGGUCAGGA